RNAcentral lists this ribosomal RNA (30 nucleotides) under Perilla frutescens var. frutescens. The record is from RNAcentral. Lineage: Eukaryota; Viridiplantae; Streptophyta; Magnoliopsida; Lamiales; Lamiaceae.
GGGGCGAUCAUACCAGCUAAAUGGCCCCGG